GUCUGGGAAACGUGCCUGAUGGAGGGGGAUAACUACUGGAAACGGUAGCUAAUACCGCAUAAUGUCGCAAGACCAAAGUGGGGGACCUUCGGGCCGUCAUGCCAUCAGAUGUGCCCAGAUGGGAUUAGCUAGUAGGUGGGGUAACGGCUCACCUAGGCGACGAUCCCUAGCUGGUCUGAGAGGAUGACCAGCCACACUGGAACUGAGACACGGUCCAG
Molecule: ribosomal RNA, 218 nt
Filed under: uncultured bacterium
Lineage: Bacteria
Description: partial 16S ribosomal RNA
Rfam family: Bacterial small subunit ribosomal RNA
Source: RNAcentral